CGGACCGCUGAUGUGGCAUG
This 20-nucleotide microRNA is filed under the name Caenorhabditis briggsae. Lineage: Eukaryota; Metazoa; Nematoda; Chromadorea; Rhabditida; Rhabditidae. The record is from RNAcentral.